GUGCAAGCUUCUGCAUUCCCUCAGGAACAUCACGGGCAGCCACCACAUUUGGAUGGUUCAGCCUCUUCAUGAUCUGUAUCUCCAGCGCCCAGCGGUCACGGUUGCGCGGGCUCAGCUCCUGCCGGCACUGCUUGAUGGCCACCUGCUCGCCGGUCUCCUUGUUGUGCCAGCGGAUGACGUUGCCGAAGCCGCCGGUACCCAGGCGCUCCUUCAUCUCCCAGGGACCGCAGGUCUGCGCCUGCAGAGCCGGCGGCCGGCUCAUGGCUGUGCCACAGCG
RNAcentral lists this long non-coding RNA (277 nucleotides) under Gallus gallus (chicken). The record is from RNAcentral. Lineage: Eukaryota; Metazoa; Chordata; Aves; Galliformes; Phasianidae.